This 652-nucleotide ribosomal RNA is filed under the name uncultured organism. RNAcentral describes it as "bacterial SSU rRNA". It matches the Rfam family "Bacterial small subunit ribosomal RNA", at positions 769 to 1434 of the family's 1533-position model. The record is from RNAcentral.
CGAACGGGAUUAGAUACCCCGGUAGUCCACGCCCUAAACGAUGAACACUAGGUAUUGGAGGUCUCGACCCCUUCAGUGCCGACGCAAAUGCAAUAAGUGUUCCGCCUGGGUAGUACGAGCGCAAGCUUAGGACUCAAAGGAAUAGACGGGGACCCACACAACCGGUGGAGCAUCUGGAUGAAAUCGACAAUAAGCGAGGAACCUUACCAAGGCUUGACAUCCCGAGAAGAUCGCCGAAAGGUGAUUGUGCCGUUAGGAACUCGGUGACAGGUGCUGCAUGGUUGUCGUCAGCUCGUGCCUUGAGGUGUUCGGUUAAGUCCGUGAACGAGCGCAACCCUUGUCUCAAGUUGCAUAUUUCUUGAGAGACUGCCGGUUUCAAAUCGGAGGAAGGUAAGGAUGACGUCAAAUCAGCAUGGCCCUUAUGUAUUGGCCGACACAGGUGCUACAAUGGCCGGUACAAUGGGCAGCGAAGGAGCAAUCUGGAGCAAAUCCUCAAAACCGGUCCAAGUUCGAAUUGAAGGCUGCAACUCGCCUUCAUGAAGUUGGAAUCGCUAGUAACCGCAUAUCAGCCAUGGUGCGGUGAAUCCGUUCCUGGGUCUUGUACUCACCGCCCGUCAAGUCAUGAAAGAUGGGGGUGCCCGAAGUACCCUUA